AUCCAGUUGACGAGUCCCAAAUAGGACGAAACGCGCGUCAAAAUGGAU
Molecule: non-coding RNA, 48 nt
Organism: Schistosoma mansoni
Lineage: Eukaryota; Metazoa; Platyhelminthes; Trematoda; Strigeidida; Schistosomatidae
Source: Rfam